CAGCAGCCGCGGUAAAACGUAGGUGGCAAGCGUUGUCCGGAAUUAUUGGGCGUAAAGGGCUCGCAGGCGGUUUCUUAAGUCUGAUGUGAAAGCCCCCGGCUCAACCUGGGAGGGUCAUUGGAAACUGGGAAACUUGAGUGCAGAAGAGGAGAGUGGAAUUCCACGUGUAGCGGUGAAAUGCGUAGAGAUGUGGAGGAACACCAGUGGCGAAGGCGACUCUCUGGUCUGUAACUGACGCUGAGGAGCGAAAGCGUGGGGAGCGAACAGGAUUAGAUACCCCCGUAGUCCCUGUCUCUUAUAA
This 301-nucleotide ribosomal RNA is filed under the name uncultured bacterium. RNAcentral's name for it is "partial 16S ribosomal RNA". It matches the Rfam family "Bacterial small subunit ribosomal RNA", at positions 509 to 809 of the family's 1533-position model. The record is from RNAcentral.